This 270-nucleotide ribosomal RNA is filed under the name uncultured bacterium. Its description in RNAcentral is "partial 16S ribosomal RNA". It matches the Rfam family "Bacterial small subunit ribosomal RNA", at positions 88 to 354 of the family's 1533-position model. The record is from RNAcentral.
CCGGCGACCGGCGCACGGGUGAGUAACACGUAUGCAACCUGGCCGUCACAGGGGGAUAACCGGUAGAAAUGCCGCCUAAUACCCCAUGACACCCUUUAGGGACAUCCCUGGGGGGUCAAAGGGAGCGAUCCCGGUGGUGGAUGGGCAUGCGGCGCAUUAGCUAGUCGGCGGGGUAACGGCCCACCGAGGCGACGAUGCGUAGGGGUUCUGAGAGGAAGGUCCCCCACAUUGGAACUGAGACACGGUCCAAACUCCUACGGGAGGCAGCAG